RNA transcript from Columba livia (rock pigeon), 13398 nucleotides. It is a transcript of the gene named ubiquitin specific peptidase 31, with no coding region annotated. The transcript has 18 exons. NCBI's taxonomy places the organism in Eukaryota, Metazoa, Chordata, Aves, Columbiformes, Columbidae. The record is from RefSeq and is a predicted model, not a curated record.
GUGGCGGCGCAGUCACGUGACGGCGCGCCCCGCUCCGCCCGCUGCAUGGCGGCGCCGUGAGGCGGCGGAGCCGCGGCGGCAGCGGCCCGGCGGGCGGGAUGCGGCGGCCGGCGGGCUGAGCGGCCGGGCGGGGAUGCGCGCUGCGCCGCGCAGCCAUGUCACGGGUGAGCGGCCCCGGGCCGGCCGGCAGCGCUAAGGAGAAGCGCUCCUUCAGCAAGCGGCUCUUCCGCGGGCGGGCGGCGGGCGGCGGCGCGGGCUCGGCCCCGGCUCCCGCCGCCGCACCGGCCCCGUCCGCAUCCGGGCGGUCGCUCGGCGGGUUCAUGAGCCGCGUCUUGAAGACGCUCUCCACCCUCUCGCACUACAGCAGCGAGCCCGAGCCCCGCGGCCCGCACGCCCCGCGCCUGCCCCCGCCGCAGGCGGCCGGCGGCCUGGGCAGCUGCUUCCCGCCGGGCCCGCCGCGCAGCCCCGAGCCCCCGCCGCGGCCCGCCGGCGGCCCUGAGGCCGUGCCCGGCGUGGCGGGGCUGCGCAACCACGGCAACACCUGCUUCAUGAACGCCAUCCUGCAGUGCCUCAGCAACACCGAGCUCUUCGCCGAGUUCCUGGCGCUGGAGCAGUUCCGCGGCGGGCCGCCCCCCGCCGCCCCCGCUGCCGACGGGCCGCCGCCCGCGCCCGGCGAGGUCACGGAGCAGCUGGCGCAGCUGGUGCGGGCGCUCUGGACGCUGGAGUACACCCCGCAGCACAGCCGCGACUUCAAGAACAUUGUGUCCAAGAACGCGAUGCAGUACCGCGGGAAUGCCCAGCACGACGCGCAGGAGUUUCUGCUCUGGCUCCUCGACAGAGUCCAUGAAGACCUGAACAAUGUGGUGAAUUACAGUGGCGUGUCUCCACUCAAGCCACCGCUGGAGGAUGACGUGCUGCUCGAGGGUCCAGCCUUUCCGAUCAGUUGUACUUUUGUGCAGGAACUCUUUCAAGCACAGUACAGGUCCUCUCUGACGUGCCCACAUUGCCAGAAGCAGAGUAACACCUUUGACCCGUUCCUCUGCAUCUCUCUGCCGAUUCCUCUGCCUCACACGAGGCCGCUGUACGUCACCGUGGUGUACCAGGGCAAGUGCUCGCACUGCAUGCGCAUUGGGGUGGCCGUGCCCAUGGCUGGGACAGUGGCCAGGCUGCGGGAGGCUGUCUCCUCUGAGACCAAGAUACCCACAGAGCAGAUCGUGCUGACGGAGAUGUACUAUGACGGUUUUCAUCGAUCCUUCUGUGAUACUGAUGACCUGGACACCAUUCAUGAAAGUGACUGCAUUUUUGCCUUUGAGACCCCAGAGAUCUUUAGGCCCGAGGGUAUCCUCAGUCAGAGAGGAAUACACGUGAACAAUAACCUGAAUAACUUGAAAUGUGGCACUGAGCACUCCCGAACAAUAUCGUACUCUCAAGGAACGGUGAAGUCUGGAAAACUGGAACAGUCCUCUGCGAAACCAGCAGCGAAUGACAAGAUCGUCCUGCUGGUGUGUAACAGAGCGUGCACUGGACAGCAGAGCAAGAGGUUUGGUUUGCCCUUUGUGUUGCAUUUGGAAAAAACAAUUGCUUGGGAUAUUCUUCAGAAGGAAAUUCUGGAGAAGAUGCAGUAUUUCCUGCGGCCUGCAGCCUGCAUGCAGGUUUGCCCGUUCAGCCUGCGAGUGGUCAGCGUUGUGGGCAUCACGUACUUGCUACCUCAGGAGGAGCGACCCCUCUGCCACCCCACAGUGGAAAGGGCAUUGAAGUCAUGUGGACAGGGGGGAACUGCUCAUGUGAAAUUAGUGGUAGAAUGGGACAAAGAAACGAAAGACUACUUGUUUGUGAAUACAGAAGAGGAGUAUAUUCCAGACUCUGAAAGUGUCCGCCAGCAGAGAGAGCUUCAUCACCAACCUCAGACCUGCACUUUAUCUCAGUGUUUCCAACUCUACACCAAAGAGGAACAGCUUGCCCCGGAUGAUGCGUGGCGAUGCCCACACUGCAAGCAGCUGCAGCAGGGUAGCAUCACACUGAGCCUCUGGACCUUACCUGAUGUUCUCAUCAUCCAUCUCAAGAGGUUCAGACAGGAGGGAGACCGAAGGAUGAAACUUCAGAAUAUGGUUAAAUUCCCCCUGAGUGGUUUGGACAUGACUCCUCAUGUUGUGAAGCGCAGUCAGAGCAGCUGGAGUCUGCCGUCUCACUGGUCACCGUGGAGGCGACCAUACGGUCUCGGGAGGGAUCCUGAGGACUACAUCUAUGACCUGUAUGCUGUCUGCAAUCAUCAUGGCACCAUGCAAGGGGGACACUAUACAGCAUAUUGCAAAAACUCAGUUGACGGCCAGUGGUACUGCUUUGAUGACAGUGAAGUCCAGCAACUUGCUGAAAAUGAAGUCUGCAAGCAGACAGCAUAUAUUCUUUUCUACCAGAGACGCACAGCAAUCCCGUCAUGGUCUGCUAACAGCUCUGUGGCAGGAUCCACCAGCUCCUCACUGUGCGAGCACUGGGUCAGCCGCCUGCCCGGCAGCAAGCAGCCCAGCAUCGCCUCGGCAGCCUCCUCACGGCGCACCUCUCUGGCCUCGCUCUCGGAAUCAGUGGAGCUGACUGGGGAGAGGAGUGAAGAUGAUGGAGGAUUUUCAACUCGUCCAUUUGUAAGAAGUGUCCAGCGUCAGAGCUUGUCGUCUAGAUCUUCUGUCACCAGCCCGCUGGCAGUGAGUGAAAAUGGGGUCAGGCCCUCCUGGUCGCUCUCUGCAAAACUGCAGUUGCGUUCCAAUUCUCCAUCCCGCUUCUCCGGAGAUUCCCCUGUACAUACUUCUGCUUCCACCCUGGAGAAGAUCGGGGAGGCUGCUGAUGAUAAAGUCUCCACCUCUUGCUUCGGCAGCCUGAGGAAUCUCUCGAGCAGCUACUUGGAGCCCUGUGAUGGCAGUCGGCGAGAGCACAAGGUGGCUCGCAGGGCUCCUUUGGCUGUCAUGGAAGGGGCAUUCAGGGAGGAGUCUGUUGUAAGGACAUCUAGCUCAGACCUUUCAGACGGGUAUGGUAAAAGCUCUGUGCAGCCAGACAGGAACCACCCUGCUUUGGACCCUUUUGAUAACAACAAUCAAAUCGCCUUUGUUGAUCAGAGCGAUUCUGUGGAUAGCUCUCCAGUCAAGGAGGUGGCAGCCCCCAGCGGGCCAGGGCUGGCUGCAGAGAAGGCAGAGGGCACCCCUAAAAAGGCUCACGGCUCCAAGGGAGUUUCUGAGCCAGACAAAAGUUUGAGGAAGGGAAGGACAGUCUCAUCUACCCGAGAGACCAAAGGCUCUCACUCUUCUCCUCCUCCGCUAAGGAGUUCCCAGAAAGUUUCCCGAUCUAGAAGUAAGACGGACUCCUCCAGGGCCAGCGGGCGACAUGGGUCUCCUGCUCCCGCUCAGUCUAGGAAGGACCAUGGCACGAAGCCCCUCGAGGCGCCUGUCCCAUCGGCUCAACAGAAGCAAAAGUCUGGUUCUCCAUCCUGCACAGCUGCCAAGAAGACCCCAUCAGGCUCAUUGACUAAGGGCUCUUCUGCUGGGAAGAGCCGGACUUCAGACCGAAGCCUCAGCAGGGAGGGCUCUAAGAUAAGUCUGGGGUCAGAUAAAGCGAGCGUUACCAGCAGCUCAAGAACGAGCUCCCCGCGGAUAAGCCACUCCCGGAGUGACAGCAGGGCAGUCGACAGCAAGCACGUGCGGAGCUCCUCCAUGGCCAACCUGCGGUCUCCAAACACUGGUGUGCGUUCUGGUCUGAAGAGGGACAGCAAGUCAGAGGAGAAAGGAUUGUCUUUCUUUAAAUCAGCCUUAAGGCAGAAGGAGACCCGGAGGUCAGCAGACCUGGGGAAGACGACGAUGCUCUCAAAAAAGGCAGGGGGUGGCAGUUCCAAGUCAGGCAGCAAAAAUGUGCUGGAAGACAAAUCGGAGAGAGGUGUAGUCCCACCAGCCUCUCAAACCAAUGCCAACAUUAUUGCAAAAGAAAAACUUGUCCCAAAAGACACCACACCCAACAAACAUUCUCUGCUAUCCAGCCGCAAGUCCAAGUCUUCCCAGCUAGAUCCCGGAGUCCAGUCUCCUCCUUCCAGUGGCAAGCAGUCCACUGACAAACCGCUGAAAAAAUUACCUUCCAGCAUGCAGGUGUCUGUACGGCCUUCUCUGGAACCUCAGUGAAAUGCUGCAAUCCAGCAGGGUGUGCAGUGGUAGAGCGCAGAUGGGCAGCUCCCGCCUCUGCGCCUUGGCUGGGCGAGGAGGAUGAGGACGAUGGAGCGAGGUGGGAGGAGGAAGGUCCAUGCUCCCAGCUGCUGGAGGGGGUUCCUCUGUCCCUGUCCCCGCGGAUGGCUGCGUGGUCUGCAGGUGACACCCAGGUUGGCCGAGCUGCUGCAGGCAGGGCUGGGAAACCUUCCCCGGGCUGCGGCUCCACCCUGGAGGGCGAAUGGGCUGCGAGAUGCUUCAGCGAUCCUGCGUGUCACCUCGGCUGAAGAACAGGAGGGAGAAAUGGAAGUCGUCAUGGUUGGAUCUGCCCAGGAGCGUUUCCACUGCGUACUCAGAUCUUCCUGCUUGACUGAGCCAUCAGGAGGGGUCAACAGCUUCUGCCGCAGCUCGGGACGUGACCGGCCGCCCCAGGGGAGAACAUGGAACCGGCCCUGGCAGGUCCGGCCCGUGGAACGGGUGUGCGGGGCCGGGUGGAGGUGACGCUGUCCCCCCGCGGGUGGCUCGUGUGACGCUGUCCCCCCGCGGGUGGCUCGCGGGUCCUCUCCCGGGCUCUGAGCUCCCAGUUCGCAGCGGUGGCACCGUGCUCAGCCGGGCCGGGCGGGGGCUGCAGAGCCGCCACGAACACGCGUGUGCAGCGGGGCCGAGCCGCGCCCGGGGGGCGGGGGAGCCGGCGGGACCUGGCCGGCCGAGGGAGACUGUGCUGCGUGUGUCCGUGUACGCACACGCGGGUUUCAUUGCCACUGGGCGGUGCCCGUGGGUCGCGCUGCCCGCAGCUCCGGGCCCCGCCGCUUGGGGUGCAGCGCGCCCGGGGUCCGGCACCCUCGGCGGGGCUGGUGCCGACCUGGGGAUGUGCUGGUACCAACCUGGGGAUGAUGUACCGGUGCCAGCCUGUGGACACGGCCAGCAGAUCAGCUGCUGGAAAAGGCCUUGCUCUGCUCAUGCCUGGGUGGCCUGAACAGUUUGGGGGUGUCACCAGUGUGACAUGUGCAGGGAUGGAGAGCUGCCAUCCCCCAGCUUGGAAAGGAGCAGCCUGGGGCUUUGGGUCUUGAGGCUCAGGCUGGGUACCCCUUGAACCUGAGAGCAGAGCUGUGAGCGUGCGGUGUGACACUGUGGUGGUGUGACACUGCUAUGGUGUGACACACAGUGUGACGUGUGUGUGAUGCUGCGUCCUGCUCUAACCACAGCAGCUCACUUCUGCAGAGGACCUGUGGCAUGGGGCAUCCCCACAGGCACACGGGGUGUCCCCACUCCCCUGUAGAGCCAGAGCAGCCACAGGAGCUGCCUGGUUUGGCCAGGACCUGCUGCACCCCCUGCCCUCACAGCCUGGGGGCUCAGCAGUCCUGAGGUGCCAGCUGCGGGACACAGGGCUCUUUACUCACCUCAGUGCUGACUUUGCUCCCCACUCCUGUGUUUUGCAGCUGGUGCUGCCCAAGCCCGUCAUACCAUGACACAGCCUCGUGGUGACAGUGGUGAUGAGACGUGUCCCCUGAGCUCUGGGCAUCUCCCAGUGUGGCACUUGCUUUGCCACAUGGGCGGCUGUGGCACGGGGUGGUGGCAGGAGGUGGCAGGACCCGCAGGGACUGGGGCUUCCCUGUCACGAGGAGGGCACUGUGCUGCCCCAUUGCCACGCCGGUCUCGUUGCCAUAAGAUUAAUGCUGGUUAUUGGGUUGGGAGUUUUAUUACCUGAAUGUUUCCUCUUAGCUCCUAAAACUGACUUCAUCCCAGAUUUAUUACCCAGCAAAUAAACAAAAGUGCAGGUUUAUUUUACCUCCUUGUUCAUCAGAAGGGAAUGAAAAUUUAAGCAAAAUAUUAAAAAUAAAAUAGACUCAGUUUUACUUUAAUUGAUCUUUGAUUUUUAACUUAAUACCUUCCCCAUGUUGCUGCUUCAACCUUUAAUUUCUCUUGGUGAAGUGGCUGUGUUCAAUGAUUCAUUCUGUCCCGAGGCAAAGCACACACUGUAAUUGGUUUUUAACUUCCUGGAAUGUCAAAGCCGGGAUUGAAAUUUUACGUAUCACACCGCCAAUUCAAUACUGGCUUUAAUAAUAAUGUUGCAGAAAGGAAGGCAGAUUUACAGCUGUAGAAAAAUGUAAUCAAAUUUUGAGGCAGAAUGCAAUAAGUCCAAAUGCUAGUUUUCAUUUGGAAGCUUGUUAGAUAAAUGUGGUAUCACCUGAGCAGCUCCCCAAUCGUUUCUGCUCUCCCUGCCACACUGAGCAUUGCCAGCGGACGCAGGGGAACAGCAGGAGCAGGACAAGCAUGGGGUGUGUGGGGUGGAUGUGGGGUGACCCUGCCACCCUCAUCCUGUGGCCCAGGACCAGCUGAUGGGAUCGUGUGGACAGGAGCCACUCGUGGUGGGAUCUGCCCUGAGUGUCCACCCUGUGAUGAGCUGCGUGGCAGCCGGGACCGCGAUGCCGCGGUGCCCAGCGCAGAGCUGCUGCACCCUCUGCUCUGCCGGCCAGAAGCAUCUGGGGGGGCACCCCAGUAUCCUGCAAAUGCCAAACAAGUAAUCAAUUUGGGUCAAUUAAUGUCUGAUAAAAACUAAUAACCCUUCUCUCCUUUUCUUAUUACUGAAUGACCUCCAGCAAUCCAUUAGUUUAACAAAUGAUAUGCGAGUGUUCAGCAUGGCUAAUGACUCUGGAUUAGACCCGGUGACACCUAAUCCAUCAGCACGCUGCUCCCCACAGUGCCCACUCUGCUCAGUCACUGCUUGGCAGCGCCUGCAGCCCUGCCUGGAUCUGGGUGCUGUGUCCCCUCAUCCCCUGCUUGCUCUGUCCACCCCAUGCUGCCUUCCGGGGGCUGGGACUUCAGGAAAAGCCUCUUGGGGUUCAGGGACCAGCAGCCCCGCAGUGCCCAGAGCCCGGUGCCGGUGCCUGUCAGCCACGGGGUGCGUGCAGCUCCCUGUGCUGCUGCUCGCGGCUCCGCUGUCCCUGCUCUCUACUUAGGCUGUCCUAAAAAGCUAACUAAGCUGAAAUUAUUUUCUUUCCUUAGAAGAGCCUUUAAAUAAUGUAUUGCCCUCACUUGCUAUUGCUGAAUGUUUUAAAAAUCCAAGGGACUACUCCUUCUGGCUCGUGUAUCUGCAUCUGUUUGUUGUGGACCAUGAAUUACCCUUGGCAGGGGUCAUUACAAAUUCCCUUUGGAGCUGUUGCCCUGACAGCCUCACAGCAGCUGCCGUGCCGGGAUGUGGGCGCUGCCUGUGCCACAGUGGGAGGGGGUGUGGGGAAAAGCAGCACCCGCUGCCCAGGGGAGCAACAGCACCGAGCCUGCAGCCCAGGACACCUGCACCAGGUGCCCCUGUCCCUGGCACAUCCAGCUCUGGGGUCACCGUGGAGCAGCAGCGGCUCCAGGGCAGCACAUGCUGCCAGUUCACAUGUGGCCGUGCCUGGGGCAUCUUGCUGUGGUGCUGCUGGGGUCUGCUUGGUGGGUUUGUAACCCCUGACCAGCCACGCUGGACCUGCAGGAGCUCAAAUCCAGCCCUGGCCGCCCUGGAGGAUCCAUUUUCCACCCAGCCAGGUGCCCAUGGUCCUGGCUGGCCAUGCAGCUCCCUGUCCCGCAUUCACAUGGCAGCAAAUUGCAAUUAAAUUCCAACCGCUGAAAACAGAGCCCCUAAAAACAUCCUCCAAAAAACUGUACCUCCUGGAAAAUGAUGAUAAGAGGUUGCUGGAGGAAGGUUAAUUACAUUAGGGGAGCUGUCAACAAAGCAAAGACAUUCUGUCCGGAGCGGUGAGGGAAAUGUUUUCCGUUCUGUGCUGGUGUCCCACAGAUUCUCAUGUACUCUGCAAGGUUUCAGAUAUUAUAAUAAAAAUCAAUGCAAGUGUUCACCAGGCCAGCAGUGCUGCAGUGCUCAUGUCCUGGGCCGGUGCUCUCGGGCAACUGGAGGGACAUCCCGGCCCUGAGCUGCACUCCUGCCUGAGCAGCCCAACUCAGACCUGAAUGUCACAGGAAACUGAGCUCUCCCAGAAGGGCUGAAGAAAACGAGAAACUAGGUAAGCGUUGAAACUGUUAGAAAUUUGUUCCACAAAGUCCCUUCCAGUUAUACUCCACUUUUCCCUGAAGUGACAGUGGUUUUGAAUCAUGUUUCCAUAGAGCACGGGGGCUCUGUGCAGGCAGCCCCGCAGUGGGGCCGUCCAAGUCCUGCAUUUCAGCAAAGCUCUUUCCUGCAAGAGUUUGCGAAAGAGGCCCCAGCAUAAAUGGUGCUACUGCCGGCGCUGCAGCUAAUUCUGGUGUUUUACAGCACCGGGGCUGUGUUUCCUAUUGAUUUCGUAGGCUGCUAAUGGUCUUUUUCAUACAAUAAGAGGCUUUUGUGGGAAGAACUUAAUCCAGUGCUAUCGCUGGGUGAAAUUGCACAGCUUACUGCUUAGAUUGCCAGGACACGAUCUGCUUUAAUAGUAGAAGAAGUUUUAUCUGAUACAUUUAAUGCUCCAAUAUUUUUAUGGCACAACAGGUCCUAAUUGAGCUGCAUUUCUGCCCCAGGCGUGCGGGAGGCUGGGGCUCUGCCAGGGAGGGGUGCAAGCUGCCAUGGUGCAUGGUGGCUCAUGGGGACCUUUGCGGUGUGACUGUCACCUUCACCGGCCGCUGUCCCCAGCCUUGUUGCUGCCACAAAUGCAUGUUAAGGUGAUUCUCAUGGUGAUGGUGAGGCCGGUGCUGAAGAUGACAAAGCUCUGCAGGGAUGUGGAUCUUUGUUUUCUCCGGGGCGUAUUUUUCUUCCUGAUGGCCAUGCCGCAUGGGCUGGUGGCAGCUGGGCUGUCAGUGCCCGACUACAAACACAGGGUGACAGGCAGGUCCUGGGCACCAUGAGCAGGCAGGGCAGGCAGGACAGGCAGGACAUAAGGACAUUGCCGUGCAGAGGGGCUCACCAGCCACAGGACAUGCUCGUGCUCCCUUGUGCCCAGGACACGCUGUCCCCAGCGCCCGGCUGAGCAGAGCUCCAUGUGCUGCUGCCUUGGAGUCUGGCGUACAGGACAUGUCUAAAUGGAUCAUGACGGUCAGGACUAAAGGUUAGGAAAUUUCUCUGUGUAUCUUAUGUAAAUGAGGACUAAUGAGGUUUUCAUUGUUACCUUUAAUUAUCUUUUCCACAAGUGGUGGUGAUUUGUGUGGUGUGAGCCUAGAUGGGUGACACACACAGAUCCACACGCAGUGGAGAACCUUCAUUAAAACCGUGUUUAAAAAUGAAUCUGCAAUAUGCAAAUUGCCUAUUAAAUGCCUUUAAGGCGAAAAAUGGCACAAGCAAACCACUAGCCUCGUGGGACCUCUGGGGAUGGAUGAGCAGCAGUGGUGGGUGCCAGGUGUGCAGCCAGUGUGCCGUGCCAUGCCAUGCCGUGCUGUGCUGUGCUGUGCCGUGAUGUGCUAUGCAAUGCUGGGCGUGCCAUGCUGUGCCAUGCAUUGCCCUGCUGCACCGGCUGGUGCUGGAGCCAGGUGCUACCGUGAGGUCCUGUGGCAGCCUGGCCCCAGACCUGCACAAAGAAUUUUUGCGGAGAAAUGGACUUAAACUUGCAACUUCCCUGUUGAUCCUGAAGAGCUAGAUAGUGGUGUUGGGUGGGAGGAGAAAGUGCUGUACCAAGAAGCAGCGGAGUGAGGGAGUGAGUGAGGUGGCUUGGACAACUAUGUCCAAUUAGCCUGACGUUAAUCCUGGGCAAACGGGUGGAAAAACUAAUGCAAGAUUCAAUUAAUGUGAGAAUCAGUGCCCGAGAAUAUAAAUUCAUGCCAGUCAACAUGGCUGAAAAGAAGUAGGUCCUGUCCAACCAACCUAUUUUCAUCCUGUGAUGAGAUUACUUGUUUGGGUGAUGGAGGUGAUGGCACAGAAACAACAGGCUCCAGACAGCAUUUCACUGGUGCCAUGAUGCACUGGUUAAAAACCUGGUGGAAAAUUUUCCUGAUUGGAAAAUGAGGCUGAAGAAGCAGAAGGGGAUGUUGCCGCUGGUGCUGUUGUGCAGCUGGGUGGUGGUGGUGGCAGUGGCCACCAGUGCUGGCCAGGGCCGGUGUGCAGUGCCAUGGUACCGGGGCAACAGCGCUCGGUGCUGCAGCACAUGAAUGGGGAGAGACGUGAGAAAUGCUGGCACUGCUCCAGGUGGGGAAUCUCCCGGCACCCAGGGGAGCUGCACAUCCACACUCUGGGGAAAACGCGGGGCUGCAGAAAACCUCAGCCUUGCUUUAUUUUCCCAAACCGCCAUGCGAGGAUGAUUCUGCGUGUAGCAAAAGCCACGGAAACUAUGCCUAAAGUAAGACUCAAAUCCAUCUGAUUAUGAAUGGAUUUAAUUAACCAUAGCUGUAGCCGUGCUGUGCUGGGGCUGCAGCUGUGGCUGUGCAGCAGCUGUGCCAUGGUGGGGCUGUGGCUGUGCCAUGGUGGGACUGUGGCUGUGCCAUGGCCGGGGCUGUGCCAUGGCAGGGCUGUGGCUGUGCCAUGGCCGGGGCUGUGCCAUGGUGGGACUGUGGCUGUGCUGUGCAUGCUCUGCUGAGGCUGCUCAGUCCCCGGUAAACAUUUCAGACCCCACGUGUCUUUCACACCAGAGAACCCCAUUAGGGUGCAUUAGUAAGCCAUGACUGAUUGCCUUUCUUCGCUAAAAUAGUACAACAGCUUUUCAAACAUACCAGUAAUGAAAAUUUUAUUGCAGCCGGCUGGAUCUCCUGCAGGUCUAUUGUUCCGAUCAGCGCUGGCAGGUCGGAGCCCACCCGGGCCCACAGGAGCUGCCACAAAACACAGCGGCCGUGGGAGCAGCUGGCCGGGUGGCGGGGACCUUGCUGGCGGGUGCACUCCCAGCAGCUCCUGUCCCAGUGGCAUUGCUGGCAGAAUGCGGUGGGCACCAUACUGCCGUGGGCACAGCACUGCUGCUGGGGCUGUGCUGCUGGCCGGAGAGAGGGCUGCACUCAAGGCGCUGCAUUUGGGGUGCUCUCUGUGACCCCCCGGCUCCAGCAGCAUGGCUGAUAGGGCUGACCCUCGCUGUCUUGUAGCCGGUGGGUGGUUGGGCCAGUGGUGCUGGGGUCCUAGCACUGGUGCGGGACGGCACAGGGAGCUGGAGCGGUGCUCGGGUGUGCGGUGAGCGAUGGCCUGACUCCUGCUUCCCUGGGCUGACUCAAAUAAAGUGCAACCAAGCAGCACCAAGUGCCUUUUACAGACUCCAUGCAGGCAGGAUUAAGAUGUGAAGAUAAAGAACGUGUAAUUCACUUUAUCCAUGUUAUUUAUUUAGAAGAUGGUGAGGAAAUGAGGAGUGAAAUAUCCCCGUCUCAGCCCAGAGCCAAACAGGGGCUGCUCAGCCCUGUCUGUCCCUGGGGCUGUUCCUGGGGCAGGGCCCUGUGCUGUGGGGCAGGGCAGUGUGCUGUGGGGCAGGGCAGAGUGGUGUGUGCCAUGGGGCAGAGCCCUGUGCCAUGGGGCAGGGCUGCACACUGCAGCCAUGGGAACAGCUCCCAGAGGUUGCUGGUGGCUGCCACAUGCCCAGAAGGAGCCCCACAGCUUCGGCACUGCUGGUAACUCUUCCAGUUUCCCUCUGGAAGUUGUUUCUGCCAAUGCUGUAAUUUGGGUUGUGCAGAGUGGGCCCAGUGGGCGCUGCGCAUCCUCAGCAGAUCCUGCAUCUCCUACUCUGGCUCACAAGGGCCCAGCACGUGUGAUGGCACUGGCAGCUCCGCACUGAUGGGGCCAAGAAGCCAUGGGGCAGGACGAGCUGGGGCACAGGGGACCGUCCCCACUGCCCCACUCACCCGGUGCCUGCAGCUAGGCUGGGGCUCCAGGGCGGGAUGGUGCGGGCAGGGACCUUCUGGUCCUUCCCCAGGGCUGUGUGGGGCUCCACGCUCCCCCAGCUCAAUUCCAGAGCCCACCAGGCUGGGUCCUGGCUCUACAAGAGAAAUGAGGUCUUAACCAGAUGGCAGGGCUAAUAAAUAGCUCAAGAAAGGCAAGCUAGUACAUGCAGCCCGCAUCUCCUCUGCCUAUCUAUUGCAAGUGCCAAAAGAAAUCUGUCUCAGGAAUUAUUUCAGAGAGGGUAAUUUCUGUUCCCCAGUUGCUGUCAUACAUUAGAAAUAGCUGAAAUGCCUCCAGUUGGCUACCAGUGGCGAGGAGCAGCCAGGGGCUGCCAUGGAUGAGAAGCACUAAAAGAAAAUAAAUUAGCCUCUUGCACUCAGCCCUUCCCUCGGCUGCUGAACCACAAGUGACGAGCGGCUGUUGCUUAAGUAACAACCAGAAUAAUGAGGAGAACAGUAUUCGCAGGGGAAUAUUAACUCGGAGAAACAGCAUUUUUUCCUCCUUUUGAAGUUUGUCCCCAGCAGCCCCUGUUCUGGUGUGGAGGUGAGCCACGACCUGCAGAUGCCGGUGGGUGCAGGUGAUGGGCAUCAGCUGCUCUCUGUGCCCAUGAGCAGUGUCCCAGUGGGACCUGCUGCCAGGUGGGCCCGGGCUCAUUCUGUGGAGCCCUAAUGUGGGUCCGCUGCAUGGCUGGGAAACGCCAGCCCAGAUUUUCCAUCACUGCUGCAGCUCGUUGCUUUAUAGCCUUGGGCCAUGUCUGCUCUGGUGCAGUCUGGUGACCUGGGACAGCAGGGAUGCUUCUGGCUGUGCCAGCACGCCGUCAUUUUGUGGCAUGAAAUGCCUUAAUCACAGGCUUGGUAACACACGCCUCGAGCACUGGUGAUCUGUCCCCUCUGAUUUCUCCACUUGUAGCUCAUGUUGCUCCAGCUGCUGGUGUCACUGAUUCCAGUGAAUGAGCCACUGCUCAGUGGCUGGCAGAGCUGGUGACCCCGCGGGUGUGUUGGACCAGUUCUCAAGAGGAAUGACCCUGUCUGGAGCCCUGCUGUGUUGUAACCAGCAGUUUAAGGAAGUUCAUCCCUCUGACGAUGCAAACCAGGAACACUCAUGGAUUUAACUUGCUUCAGAUCCUCUCUGGUUCCUUUAUCUCUUCUGGCUGAGUCUUCUGGGGAACAUUACCUUGACUUACUGCUCCCUGUUUGUAUCCACUAACAAUUAUAUGGGGGUGCAAUUCUGAGAACCACCUCAUCCCAUGCUGUGUGAUUAAUGAUGGAAAUCUUUCUUCCCAUUUUGCAGUUUGAGAGAUACCUGUUGCUGCUGAAGCUGUCCCCAGGAGGAUGCCUGCUCACUUAACAUGUCAUUGCAGGGAAAACAAGGCACUUUGCUCCUAAAAGAAGGCAACGAAACAAAGCUACAUGAGGCUGUUUUCUUUGUGCUCUUUCUCUUCAUCACCCUUUUCUAUCCAUCCUACAUCUGUGAGCGGUG